AGCGGAAACCUCUCAGUUCGGCUAAGCCGUUUCCUCUCCCUGCCCACCCCACCCUCAGUGCCAGCAGCCAUUUGUGCGGAAGAUCCUGGUGGACACAAGGGCAGGCUCUACCACAUUGCACGAAAUUAAAAGGAGCAUGACGAGCAUUUCCUGCUUGCCCAACCCAUUGGAACAAGGAGAACCAGAUUUUAUAAACCUUUCUACCUCGGAACCAUGCUGCAGGUGAUAAAACUAUGAAUUAACAUGUCAGCAGUUUAUUUUACAAGCUGUAAUUUAUCAACCUACAUCCAAUCUCCCCCCCCCCCAAAAAUUAUUUUCAAUAUUACUUUUUUCCCAUUGUUUUCAUUAUUUAAUCUUUUAAUUUGUUUCAUUCUUCAGUUCACAUGUUUUGUAGCAACUAUUGGUAUAAAGCUGCUUUUGAUGUUCCAAGUGUGACCAUGGCGCUCUCUAGCGCAGUAUUGCCAACACUGGCUGGCAGCUGCUCUUUGUUGUUUCAGACAGGUCUUUUCCACAGCCCUAGCUCAAUAUGCCAGAGACUGAACCUGGUAUGUGCCCCACCAUUUAUAGCCCUUCAUUAUAUUUGUUUCUGUUUAUCUUGGAGGAAACACAUCCAAAAACCACGAGAACGCCCUGAGUGGAAGGGUGUCCUAUCUGCCCACCUUGGCACCCGUGGGAAACUCACAAAACCAGCUGAGCCUGGAACUGGGCGCAUGCAGUGCAGCUAGGUGAGUGCUGAGUGGGAGGCAGCUCUGGGCAGCUCCACAGGCAUAGUCAGGAUUUUUUUGGGGGGGGGAGGGGCAGAAUCUCAAUUUGCUAUGCAUUUUUAUUUAUUUUUAUUGAUUGGGGGGCAGCUGCCACUCCCUGCCUCCACUUGGCUACACCCAUGCAUUGACCUUGGUGGCUGCCCAUCAAAGCAAGCCUAAAGCGAGAGACUAGGCUGAUGUCAGCAUGUUCCAGGAAUCUUCUUUGCUUGUGAGUGUUUGAGGGUUAUCUGUGAGCUGGGUGAGAUCAAGAUGGGUGGCAUUUUGGUGAGCACUAGGAGCUUCAGAGGGGCAGAGUGAGGAGCUGCAUUGGAAGAAUAGUGUUAUCCUUAUAGGUUUUAUUGUGAAUUUUGUAACUUUUGUUGUUUUUCCAUUUUCUGCACACUAAGAAAUAUUUUUAUAUAUUAAAGGAGAUAGAAAUGAAAUACAUAUCAUACACGGAGAGAGUUAGCAACAGUAAUUUUAUUUUCCCAGAAUGUUCCAUUCUAGAACAGGUAUGGGGAACCUUUAGCCCUCCAGAUGUUGCUAAACUAUACCUACCAUCACCCCUGCCAUUGGCCAUGCUUGCUAAGGCUGAUGGGAAUUGUAGUUCAGGAAAUAUCCGCCCCCCCAAAAAAAAGUUCCCCUCACAUCUGAUCUAGGGGAAAUACUGGUAGCUUCCAUUGGUGGUCACUGUAGCAUUUUGUGUUUUCUUUGAAAUAAGAGGCUGACAAAAAUCGGUUGUUGCAAGCGGAGAAAAAGGUAGAUCCUUCCCACGUCUGAUAAAUUGUCACAAAACGCAUACAGAAAAUGAACUGUAGCUCAUGCAUUUACUUUCUCAAAAAAAGCAAGUCACGUUUGGUUCAGCAAAACAAGUGGCCAUGACUACUUCCUUUCACAGAAUUGGGUUCUAUGGGCUGCAGCAUCUUGAAAAGAAUUAAGGAGCCCCAGCAUCAAUCUGCAAGAAAAAGAGCUGCCUCUACAAAGCCUGGAAAUACUAUCUCCUAAAAGGAAGGAUAUGCUUUUUCACAAUUCCAGUCGUAAUCUAGUUUUGUAGUAUUAAAAGUGUCACCUAACAUCUCACGUCACUCACUCUGAUGUCAAUAAGGAAGUUAGAUAGUCCAAGAGGAAAUUACUCAGCAUCCUUUACAUGUCCCAUGGCUGACUAAUCAAGAACUAAUAGGAUGCUAGGAACACUUUUCAUGGGAUCUUCCUGGUUAGUGUAUUUUUAGCUCUAAUCUUGCAGGACAUAGAACUGUGUGCCAGGAUCUUGUAAAUGGAAGCAGAUAAACCUGCAAAUCAGCAUAUAAGCAAUUACAGGGCUGUGUACGACACCAGCAGUACAGUAGCUCCUUCUACACUUGUGGAAAGGGUUUGUGCUGACUGCUUUGUGAGACACCUCGAGCAGUUUACUGGUAUACGUUGGAAGCUGCUGCUGAGCUAUUAAUACUGAGGAUGAGGAAGAAGUGCCUUCUCCAGUUGCGUUGGAGUCAAGGAAACAUCUUAGGCAACUGCCAACAUUAUAUCUCCAACCAUGUGAAGGAACAUGGUUUUAGGUAUCUCAUGUUAAGGAUUGCAGGUGAUGGGAAAUGUUUCUGCUCAAGCAUUGCUCAUACAAAGAUAAUGCCAGAAACUCCAGUGCUCAGUUUCGUAUGUUCAUGUUGAACUGAGCAAUCUUUCCUCCAUACCAAGCAUAUUUCUUGGUGAGGUCUCCAUGUAUCAUGUAAAGCCAGACCAGAAUAAAUUAUUCCUCUCCUGAACAGUGAUUUUAACCAUUGAUAACUGUAAAAAGGUAAAGGUAAAGGACCCCUGACAGUUAAGUCCAGUCACAGAUGACUUUGGGGUUGCGGCGCUCAUCUUGCUUAACUGGCCGAGGGAGCCAUAGGACUCCUUAAAUCUGCUCCAGGUGGUUCUAUUCUGGAGCAGAUUUGGUGGUAAAAGCACUGGGGGUGGGGGGUGGAGCAAGUUACUUCACUAUUGUAAAAGUCAUUUUACAUGUGCAACGAAUUAGGUGGUUACAACCCUUUUUUUUUAUGUGCUUGCAGAUUUCAAGAGAAACACCAAAGCUCCCCAUUCUGCUAUGAUAAAAAAUGAGCAGGAAAGUAUGUUCCCACAACCUUUGACCUCAACAGUCAGUGCCAAAAUGGGGGUGGGUGAGGAGGACACUUUGUGCUACCAUCAAAGUUAUAGAAAUGAAAUUAUUUGCACAUGUGUGCAUUCAGAUAUGCUAAAAUGCAUAUUACAGAGAAGUCUGAAGAGUCCUGGACUAACAAUCUGUUCAACAACUUUGUCUUGAUCACAACGUCUGCGUCCUGAUUUCAUGCCAACGACAUUGUCAAGCUGUGAAGGAACAAUUCAAUUCAGACUCACUUCCAGAAUGAAGUAAAGAAACUUGCUGCACCCCAGCUCCUGUCCACCUAGCAGUUUGAAAGCACAUCAAAGUGCAAGUAGAUAAAUAGGUACUGCUCCAGCGGGAAGGCAAACGGCGCUUCCGUGCGCUGCUCUGGUUUGCCAGAAGUGGCUUAGUCAUGGUGGCCACAUGACCCGGAAGCUGUCUGUGGACAAACGCCAGCUCCCUUGACCUAUAGAGCGAGAUGAGAGCCGCAACCCGAGUGUCGUCCGCGACUGGACCUAAUGGUCAGGUGUACCUUUACCUUUAUUCUGCCAUACCUUAGCAACACC
Non-coding RNA from Podarcis lilfordi (Lilford's wall lizard), 3422 nucleotides. The record is from the annotation of a GenBank genome assembly. Lineage: Eukaryota; Metazoa; Chordata; Lepidosauria; Squamata; Lacertidae.